ACAAAAGGUAUUUGGAGGAGGACAGCGAGGAGGAGGCAGGACCAAGCCGUAGGGGGAGGAGGCCACCAUCUAUUGACGCCACUCAGCUGGACAGCGAGUGGCAAUUCCCCUCCCUUAAUGAAGACACCCAGCCAGGCCUGUUUCUUCACAGCCAGCCAUUAACUCAUGAUUCACCGUCGUCAGAAACCCCGCCAGGCCCUUUCCUUCACAGCCAACCACUAACCCAUG
Long non-coding RNA from Neoarius graeffei (lesser salmon catfish), 228 nucleotides. RefSeq lists it as uncharacterized. The transcript has 3 exons. The record is from RefSeq and is a predicted model, not a curated record. Lineage: Eukaryota; Metazoa; Chordata; Actinopteri; Siluriformes; Ariidae.